This 260-nucleotide long non-coding RNA is filed under the name Lathyrus oleraceus (garden pea). RNAcentral's name for it is "Pisum sativum (pea) long non-coding RNA (PSAT_LNC005700)". The record is from RNAcentral. Lineage: Eukaryota; Viridiplantae; Streptophyta; Magnoliopsida; Fabales; Fabaceae.
UUGAGGUAUGUUGUUGUUUUGUUAAAGUUAGUUAUUGUUUAUGUUAAGGUAAGUUUGUUUUUAUUAGUAUGUUCGUGUUUUUGUUGAGGUAUGUUGUUGUUUUAUUAAGAUAUGUUUAUGUUUUUGUUGAGGUAUGUUAUUUUAUUUUGUUGAGGUAUGUUUUUGUAUUUUUUAGGUAUGUUGUUUGUUUUACUUUAGAUGUUUUUUGUUGAAGUAUAUUGAUGUUUUUGUUGAGGUUUGUUGAUAAUGUUGUGGUUGAG